RNAcentral lists this ribosomal RNA (601 nucleotides) under Escherichia coli. Its description in RNAcentral is "partial 23S ribosomal RNA". It matches the Rfam family "Bacterial large subunit ribosomal RNA", at positions 711 to 1309 of the family's 2925-position model. Lineage: Bacteria; Pseudomonadati; Pseudomonadota; Gammaproteobacteria; Enterobacterales; Enterobacteriaceae. The record is from RNAcentral.
AGACCCGAAACCCGGUGAUCUAGCCAUGGGCAGGUUGAAGGUUGGGUAACACUAACUGGAGGACCGAACCGACUAAUGUUGAAAAAUUAGCGGAUGACUUGUGGCUGGGGGUGAAAGGCCAAUCAAACCGGGAGAUAGCUGGUUCUCCCCGAAAGCUAUUUAGGUAGCGCCUCGUGAAUUCAUCUCCGGGGGUAGAGCACUGUUUCGGCAAGGGGGUCAUCCCGACUUACCAACCCGAUGCAAACUGCGAAUACCGGAGAAUGUUAUCACGGGAGACACACGGCGGGUGCUAACGUCCGUCGUGAAGAGGGAAACAACCCAGACCGCCAGCUAAGGUCCCAAAGUCAUGGUUAAGUGGGAAACGAUGUGGGAAGGCCCAGACAGCCAGGAUGUUGGCUUAGAAGCAGCCAUCAUUUAAAGAAAGCGUAAUAGCUCACUGGUCGAGUCGGCCUGCGCGGAAGAUGUAACGGGGCUAAACCAUGCACCGAAGCUGCGGCAGCGACACUGUGUGUUGUUGGGUAGGGGAGCGUUCUGUAAGCCUGUGAAGGUGUGCUGUGAGGCAUGCUGGAGGUAUCAGAAGUGCGAAUGCUGACAUAAGUAA